RNAcentral lists this non-coding RNA (30 nucleotides) under Homo sapiens (human). Lineage: Eukaryota; Metazoa; Chordata; Mammalia; Primates; Hominidae. The record is from RNAcentral.
UGGGAGAUGCUGAGCAGCAGAAGUGCCUGG